GAAUAUUGGACAAUGGGCGCAAGCCUGAUCCAGCCAUGCCGCGUGAGUGAUGAAGGCCUUAGGGUUGUAAAGCUCUUUCGUCCGGGACGAUAAUGACGGUACCGGAAGAAGAAGCCCCGGCUAACUUCGUGCCAGCAGCCGCGGUAAUACGAAGGGGGCUAGCGUUGUUCGGAAUCACUGGGCGUAAAGGGCGCGUAGGCGGCCAUAUAAGUCGGGGGUGAAAGCCUGUGGCUCAACCACAGAAUAGCCUUCGAUACUGUAUGGCUCGAGAGCGGAAGAGGUAAGUGGAACUGCGAGUGUAGAGGUGAAAUUCGUAGAUAUUCGCAAGAACACCAGUGGCGAAGGCGGCUUACUGGUCCGGUUCUGACGCUGAGGCGCGAAAGCGUGGGGAGCAAACAG
RNAcentral lists this ribosomal RNA (399 nucleotides) under uncultured bacterium. Its description in RNAcentral is "bacterial SSU rRNA". It matches the Rfam family "Bacterial small subunit ribosomal RNA", at positions 359 to 775 of the family's 1533-position model. The record is from RNAcentral.